This 253-nucleotide ribosomal RNA is filed under the name uncultured bacterium. RNAcentral's name for it is "partial 16S ribosomal RNA". It matches the Rfam family "Bacterial small subunit ribosomal RNA", at positions 524 to 776 of the family's 1533-position model. The record is from RNAcentral.
UACGUAGGUGGCAUGCGUUGUUCGGAAUUACUGGGCGUAAAGCGCGCGUAGGCGGCUCUUCAAGUCAGGCGUGAAAGCCCCGGGCUUAACUCGGGAACUGCGCUUGAUACUGUCGAGCUAGAGUGUGGAAGGGGCGAUUGGAAUUCCGUGUGUAGCGGUUAAAUGCGUAGAUAUACGGAGGAACACCAGAGGCGAAGGCGGAUCGCUGGGCCAACACUGACGCUGAUGUGCGAAAGCUAGGGGAGCAAACGGG